Molecule: long non-coding RNA, 2092 nt
Organism: Stylophora pistillata
Lineage: Eukaryota; Metazoa; Cnidaria; Anthozoa; Scleractinia; Pocilloporidae
Source: RefSeq, a predicted model, not a curated record
CAAUUAAUAAAUCGCUUUUUAGUGAGAAGCGUUAUUAAAACAAAGUACUCUACAUAGUGAAUUUCAAAUUAGGAAUAACGCAUCAGAAGACUUAUCAACCCUUCAAGCAACGCCAGAAGAGAACUUGUGUCAUGCACGUGCACGAGAGCGUCGCAUUUUUGUUGUGCGCGUUUCUUGACUUCUCGCACGCGCGUGAGAAGGAACGUCUUUUCUCAAGCUGCGUCGCUAUGGUUGGGUUAACAAACCAUUUAAUCGCAUAUUAUACAACACAAAGCCUUAUUAAGAAAUCGUAUCUAUUACUUUCACCUUGAAAACAAACGGAUUUAUAGGUGAAGUACGACUUUCAGUCGCCAUAGUAGCUCAGUGUUGGGAAAAACCAGGGCUGGGUGUGUGACCUUGGGGUGUUGUUCCGGUUAUUUGAGAACGAUUUAGAAAUCAAUCAAACUCUCCUGCUUGCGGUUUGGGUUUUGAAACUUUGAAGUUAAUCUCUUGUUCUCGUGUUUCGCUUUACAAGAAAUAAUACACAAGCAGGUCGACUUCAAGCGCAGGCACAACGAACCGUUUGGUCUCGUUUGAAUCCCUGUCAUGAAUACGAUACAGAAAAUUAAAAGGAAAAACUUCAAGGAGAUUUCAGAUUAGAAGUCUCGUAUUUAAGGUCAAAUUUCGACCAGGAUUCUCAUCUAAUUUCAUCAAGACCUCAUGAACAAAUCUCCGUGGGGAAACAUUUCAAUUUUUCGAAGUUUGCAAUGGGAUUACUCUCGAAGAACUCAGCAAGAGAGAUUGAUUUCGGAGAACAACCCACUGCACUGUUAGACGAGGAUCACAUUGUUAUUGUUCUGACAAUAAUAACAAGUUUGUUCGCGAUUUCCUGUAUUGCGCUCUUUUUUUACUACCACUGGAGAGUGAGUCGUUACCUCGUGGAAACACGUAUUGGGAGUCAAGGAAAUGACUUAAUUUAUUUAUAUUAUUCAAAGCGUUCAUAGAGGAAUCAUUUACAGAGACCUGCAGGGAGAAUAUUUUUUGAGCACUUCAACGACUUCAGUGGCCAGUCAAACUUUGUCCCGUUAACUAGAUCUAUCAGGUGAUCAAUAGACAGUAAUUUUGUGGCUUUUCUUUUCUUAUGGAACGCACGUGAAUUAUACUUUUAUGUUCCGUGCAUAAACGACCAUUACUCUAAAAUAUUUUGUUGCGCAAUGGAGCCAUAGUAUCUUUUUCCCUGCGGGGUAAACCCGGAGGUCUCCCAAGGGGAUUCUACUACCAUUAAGACAUGGACAAACGAAGUCCCCGUGAUUGGUACCCCUGGGGGCCUACCAUUGGACUCUUGUGAUACGAUUUCUUGGCCGGCUGUAAGGGGUAAAAUAAGGAGCUGAUAAAAAUAACAUCUCAGCGUCUUUCUGAAAAGGUAUUCACAUGAUUUCGUGCACAAUUGGAAAUCAAAUAAACAAAUGAUUUUCCCUAAGGCUAAAGAAAUUGCACGGGGCGGGAAAAAUAUGAAUUUUUUCUAAAAAUAAAAAAUCACGAGGGGUUGUUUACUCCAAAUUUCACGAGAAAAAUCGUGUGUUUACCCGAGAUAUUACCGUCCUAGCUAACUUUUGGCCUUUUAUGCAUGUGCAAGAUAUAGGCUAAAACUUCUUUGACACGGGAGGUGAUAAAGGGAGCUUUGCAUUGGCCAGUGUAUCUGUUUCCCUUCUUUCUUCGGCUGAGUGAUCCACAUGAUCCGGCGAUCCAGUGUUAUUGCGAUUAUUGCACGAUCUUUGCAUGAUCUUGGCCUGAUUAAAGGAGCAAGGCUCAAUGAGCGAAGCCAAGAGGGGUCUUUCGAAACCAAACAGGUCGCCUCAUCUGUCAGGUGGAUUUAGGUACGAGGGAAGGGAUUCUUCACUGUCACGUUACUUUACGUGCGUUAAGCCCUCAGUCUGAUAAUCUCACGUGCGUUGUUAUGCCCGGCAGGCUUGCAUUAUGCUGACUUCGUGCACUUGAAAUAGAAUACAGACAGUUAAGAGUCAGUUUUUGUGUGUGAAAAAUCUAGAUUGGAGUUUAACGUUAAGUGUUGACUUGAAACUCUGAAUACGAUAUGGAAUUUAUUUGAUUGUUU